UACGUAGGGGGCUAGCGUUGUCCGGAUUUAUUGGGCGUAAAGAGCGUGUAGGCGGCCAGGUAGGUCUGGUGUGAAAACUCGAGGCUUAACCUCGAGAUGUCAUCGGAAACCAUCUGGCUAGAGUCCGGAAGAGGAGAGUGGAAUUCCUGGUGUAGCGGUGAAAUGCGCAGAUAUCAGGAAGAACACCAAUGGCGAAAGCAGCUCUCUGGGCCUUACCUGACGCUGAGGAGCGAAAGCGUGGGGAGCGAACAGG
This 253-nucleotide ribosomal RNA is filed under the name uncultured bacterium. Its description in RNAcentral is "partial 16S ribosomal RNA". It matches the Rfam family "Bacterial small subunit ribosomal RNA", at positions 524 to 776 of the family's 1533-position model. The record is from RNAcentral.